GGCGUAAAGGGCUCGCAGGCGGUUUCUUAAGUCUGAUGUGAAAGCCCCCGGCUCAACCGGGGAGGGUCAUUGGAAACUGGGGAACUUGAGUGCAGAAGAGGAGAGUGGAAUUCCACGUGUAGCGGUGAAAUGCGUAGAGAUGUGGAGGAACACCAGUGGCGAAGGCGACUCUCUGGUCUGUAACUGACGCUGAGGAGCGAAAGCGUGGGGAGCGAACAGGAUUAGAUACCCUGGUAGUCCACGCCGUAAACGAUGAGUGCUAAGUGUUAGGGGGUUUCCGCCCCUUAGUGCUGCAGCUAACGCAUUAAGCACUCCGCCUGGGGAGUACGGUCGCAAGACUGAAACUCAAAGGAAUUGACGGGGGCCCGCACAAGCGGUGGAGCAUGUGGUUUAAUUCGAAGCAACGCGAAGAACCUUACCAGGUCUUGACAUCCUCUGACACUCCUAGAGAUAGGACGUCCCCUUCGGGGGCAGAGUGACAGGUGGUGCAUGGUUGUCGUCAGCUCGUGUCGUGAGAUGUUGGGUUAAGUCCCGCAACGAGCGCAACCCUUGAUCUUAGUUGCCAGCAUUCAGUUGGGCACUCUAAGGUGACUGCCGGUGACAAACCGGAGGAAGGUGGGGAUGACGUCAAAUCAUCAUGCCCCUUAUGACCUGGGCUACACACGUGCUACAAUGGACAGAACAAAGGGCAGCGAAACCGCGAGGUUAAGCCAAUCCCACAAAUCUGUUCUCAGUUCGGAUCGCAGUCUGCAACUCGACUGCGUGAAGCUGGAAUCGCUAGUAAUCGCGGAUCAGCAU
Molecule: ribosomal RNA, 798 nt
Filed under: Bacillus subtilis
Lineage: Bacteria; Bacillati; Bacillota; Bacilli; Caryophanales; Bacillaceae
Description: bacterial SSU rRNA
Rfam family: Bacterial small subunit ribosomal RNA
Source: RNAcentral